This 440-nucleotide ribosomal RNA is filed under the name uncultured bacterium. Its description in RNAcentral is "partial 16S ribosomal RNA". It matches the Rfam family "Bacterial small subunit ribosomal RNA", at positions 338 to 795 of the family's 1533-position model. The record is from RNAcentral.
CCUACGGGUGGCAGCAGUAGGGAAUAUUGGACAAUGGACGAAACUCUGAUCCAGCAACGCCGCGUGAGUGAAGAAGGAAUUCGGUAUGUAAAGCUCUAUUAGUAGGGAAGAAAAUGACGGUACCUGAGUGAAAAGCCCCGGAUAACUACGUGCCAGAAGCCGCGGUAAGACGUAGGGGGCAAGGGUUAGCCGGAUUUACUGGGGGAAAAGGGGGCGGGGGCGGUUGUGCAAGUCGCGAGUGAAAGGGGGGGGCUCAACCGCCGGUGGGCACUGGAAACUGGACGGCUGGAGUGCAGGAGAGGAGAGUGGAAUUCCAGGUGUAGCGGUGAAAUGCGUAGAUAUUAGGAGGAACACCAGUGGCGAAGGCGGCUCACUGGACUGUAACUGACGUUGAGGCUCGAAAGCGUGGGGAGCAAACAGGAUUAGAUACCCCAGUAGUC